CCCCGCGCCUGUGGAGGUGGAGGAGCGGCCCUCGCUGCCGCCCCGCCCCGCCCCGGCCCCUGCAUUGCGGAGACGCCGAGGCUCCGGGACACCCAGCCCGCGGGCCCGGCCCGAGUCCGGCCCUGCCCUGCUCCGGCUGUGGAUUUUUUAUCGUUUGAAACGCCUGCGCUCCAACUCAGUUCAAAGAGGAAAGUUAACAGUGUCGCUUGGGGUGCUCAUUCCCAUAAGGUACCUCAGCAAUGAUCUAAAUGCAAAAAAAACCCCAAAGCAAAUAAACAUUGAAAGGAGGAUCGCUUCUGCCUUGAAUCUUGGAUCCUGACAAAGGAGCUGCAAGAAGGAUGUGAAGCACAUUAUAAUCAAGGAGCUGAUGGGUGGAAAAGGAAGUGUUUCAGAUGAUUGUGACACCUAUAAACAUCCAUUGUAUGAAGCAACUCCUUGUCAUUGCUUGGUAUUUCUGAUUUUUGAAGCGUCUGCAGAUGCUUGCGCAGGCUGGUGUGUUGCCAUGGAUACCACGGUGUGCCGAGGCUUUUAGCAAACCAACUGAUCUGUUUGUGUACCUCCAGACUGAAAAGAAAGGAAAAAAUCCCAUCAUUUGUGUGGCUGCUAGCAAAGGGAGCCUGACAGUGAAGUGAAAUGACUCUGCAUAAUGGUUUUCAGAACCUCCUCCUCUUGGAAAUGAUGGGGUAGGAAAGAGAUGGAAUGUAAUGAAGAGAAGGAGUGAGGAGAGCUGUCAAGUGUUUAGCAAAACAGCUCAAGGCAAGGUCCUUGCAUGAUAACGUCAGCUGUAUGGUCAAGAAAAAUCAAUAUGAGGUUUGAAUAAUUCAGUUUCCUAAUGGCCUGGCACCUUGGGUUUCUGAAGACAGGAAGAACAACAAGGAUGAAAGGCAAAAAGGAGUGAUCAACAGACAAUGUAACACAGCAGAAUAAUUUUCUUUGAGUGAUAUCCUGGGACCAAGCAACAGGUGUGCAUUAUGAAACUAAUAUUUAGCUGGUGUUCAAGCAAUGCCUUUAUCUGGGCACAACUCCACUGCUGAGUGAGAGGCAAAACAGGUUUAGAAGUGGCAGGCAAGUGAAUACACAGAAAAUCAAGUAAAAAACCUGGGCAGUGUUCCAAACUUUGACUCUAUUCUUGGUGUUAGAACAACCCCAUAAACUGCACACGUACAUGCCAGUACAAGUCCCUAUACAGCAACCCCAUAAACUGCACACACAGAUGGCACAAGUCCCUGUGAGCUGAAUUUCCACGCAUUAAUGCCGUAUCUUAUUAGGCAGCAACACAAAAUCGUCCCCCUUGAUUACAAGUUUUGGGGGUUUGCCCUGCUGUUCUAAAGGGAUCACAUCACCAUGUAUUUCACCAAGAGUUUUCCUUGCUUUUGAGUUUAGGGGUCAAAAAGCACUAACACUUUCACAGGAGCGGUGUGUUCCUCAUUACUUACAUAAAUGCUUAAGCUGCUAAUAAGAAAUGGUGACAAUGUGAAAUCUCCCUUGGUGCACGUUUUCCCAGUAGCACUGUGUCACCAUAUAUGAACUAGAAAUCCAUCACACAAUAUUUUAUAGUGAACUCCUCUCCUCUUAACUAAUCAGGUUUUGUUCGUGUCAUUUCUGUGUCUUAAAAAUGGGAAAAAAGAGUUGAUUCUUUCUAUGGCCAGCUAUGGUGUCUCCUCAAGCGCAAACACCAAGUGCAAACUGCACUGCGAACACCAAGAGCGGUCUUUGGGGACAAGAUUAAAAGAAAACCAAAACUGCAAUCCUCGCCCUUCCCACAGGUCCCCUUGGUCUGGCACCAAACUGGAGGUGUAGGCAGGAACUUGGUUGGUUUUGAGCCAUGGACCAACACAACCAGUUACUCCAAUGAAGCUCUUAAGCACAUUCCAGCCUCUCCUUGAGACCUUGCUCUGGGGAUGGCCCAGCACUGUCCUGCUGAUGGCUCUUAUCUCUGUUGCCUGUUGAUGCCUCACCCUGAAGGCAGCUGAACCUCAAGAAAAUCACUCCCCAGGCUACCUCUCCGUACAAGCCACAGUCACCACAAAGCUGAAGUAUGAGUCCCACUAGAUUCUGCUGGAGGUUCAGAGGAACCUUCUCUUGCGUGCAGAUGAACUGUUACUAAAUUCAGCUGUUGAGCUGAGCACUCACCUCCAGACUAUUAAUUGACGUUGCUGGGAGCACAGCACAGUGUCUUCCACGUAGCUGAACCAAAGAUGUGUCCUGGGCAAUUGGUGUCACUCAUUUUCGUGAGGCUGCAAAAAUGCAAUUCCAGUUUGUGAAGUUAUAAAUUAAGUCCCUUACAAACUCAGGGAAGAGCUGAAAGGUGUUGCUGCUGUGGACACAGAUCAAUAAAAAUAUAUAGCAGCUAUGGCUAGUUCUGCAUUCACACUGAUACUGCAUUGCGUAACUUGACUCCAGCAGCUCAGACCUACCUCUGACAACCACAGUUUUCCCUUACAGAACCCCCCAAGGAACUCCUCUCCUAUCCUGUUUCCCUCUUUCAAGGACCUUCAUUUAGCAAUUUUUCCCCAAGCACACAAGUUCCUUAAAAUCAGUGUCUCUGGCCACAGCUUGCAAACAAGCCAGCUCCAGCAAAAUGCAAGCUGUUAGCAACCAGAGCUGCGUGAGUUAAAGCUCACAGUUGUGGUCACUAAAACCUCAGGAUUUGGGAUGUGGAAUAUUCCUGCACAUACACUGAUGAGCAUCCUUUGGGUCUUGUCAUAUUUGAAAUGCUUCGGUGCCCACUCUGCCAUCAUUUGGGCUCUUAUGAGUCUGGUAGCUAAGCAACAGAUGGGCAGUCCAAAUGAUGUGGCAAGGGCAAGCUAUCGUGCAGAAAUGUGGCAAUUCAGAAGGAAAGUAAUACACUGAAGCUUGGGAGAACCUCUGCGGCCCUCAGUGUGCUUCAGAGCACCAAAAGAACUCAGAACCUGCCAGUGAGGCUAGACAACAGAUUUACACUCAUCAUGACUGAGAAACAAACCUAGAAAAAUUACCUGCGUGGCAAGGAAAUUCAUGGCCAUUUGCUGCAAAAAGAAAUGUGGACGAGCAUCAACGAGAUUAAAAAAAUGUAUCUGGAUGAGCACAUCGGGGUUGCACAGAAACUUGGUGGCAGAUGCAGAAACAGAGAGGAUUCUGAUCUGACACCAUAUUUCACUGCUUUCUAGAGCUUGGUUUUGUUCCUUUCACCUUCUCAGGCAUUAAUUUCAUUGUUAAUUCUUGCUGUGGAAAUCACAACAUCUUCCCAUUAUAGGAGAAAAGCUAAAGCUGGAGUUUUAAGCCCACGUUUAGGAGCUGGUGUUAUCAUCAACGAUGGGGCAGCUCUCCCUGCUUUCAGUCAGGAUUUACACAGGAUCUACCAGUGACCCUACCCUCAGGCAAUUUAUGCCUAGCAGGAGGCACCUUCCUCGGAACAGAGGCAGCUGAUCUGCACAACUCACUAGCAGAGGACACUGUGAAGGUGACAAACUUACAUGGACUAAAAAAAGGCAGAGACAAAUUUGUGGGCACUGGCACCUGCUGAAGGCACAGGGUCAGAGCACAGGGUCACUCUCUGAGCCUGGAGUGCCACGAGCAGAACCUCUAAGCAAACUGAAGAAAGUUGUAUCUUGAUGUGGGAACCUACUAAAUGUUUGCUAGUCGGUGAACUCCACAGAUUUUAAACCCUUCCAGGGCUAGUAACACCAGUGAUUGCCUGAAACCAGCCUCUGACCUGCUGGAUUAGCUUCACGUUUGGGACUCCUCUAGAAAGUGCAUUGUGAUAAUGUCUGGUGAGAACGCCUGCUCAGGAGAAAGGGAAAACAAGUGACAACCAGGGCCGGGAGAAGACUGAAAUGUAAGACACAAGAUUUGGUAAAAUGUAAGCUGUGAGUGGGAGAGAUUUUCUUCAUUCUCCACAUGUAUGGAUUAAACAAAUACAACAUCUUUGCUGGUUAUUUAGAGAAACUAGCACACAGAGACAGAGAGCGGGAAGCUCAGUCUGUGAGGAGUCAAAGCAGCAAUGCCAGGUGUUCACAGAGCAACCACCUCUCUUGCUGCCAGCUUUGAAGAAAACCCUCCAGUCAUGGCCAGCUCCCGCGCUUUGAUUCACACAGCAGAGUAUCCUCAGAGCACAAAAUCUGGGCUGCCCUGGGACCACACUGACCUGGUGCUCUGCUCCUGUCACCCAGGGGAACUCAGGCUGCAGGCUCAGCAUGCUCUGGCCAAAGAGCCAGAGUCCCUGUCCUCCUAUCCCUCUUCUCCCUGGGUUCAUGCAUGCUUCAUUCUGGUCCAAGAGCUUCCCUCUGAGCUUUUCCUAGGGAUCAGCGCCGUGCAGUGACAGCGGGCAGAACCCCCCCUGCCAGCCGGACCCCCCAAACCUUCACCCCUCCUCUUCCUCCUCUCCAUCAAUGUCCAGCCUCCACACCCACCUCUCCACAGCUUUCAACAGUGAAGUGAGAGAGCUCCUAGUUUUUCUUGUAGAACUGAGUUGGGGAUCAUUUCUAUGACAUUAAUUGCAUUAUUAAACAUGCAAGGUCUAAACCACAUUUAAUAACACCCUUGUUCCAGUUAGUCUUCCACUAUCAGCUCAACCCUCAAAAUAUUUCAACUCUAGCUGUGAGAUUUAUAUGGGCUAAACAAUAAUUAGAAAGUUUAAUAAGCACCCAGAGAAGCUUCCUGAGCUCUUCUGCAUUUCUUCAUUCGGGUCAGAUAAAAUCUGUUGUUCUGUCUUCUAAAAGGAGUUUGCUAUUUCCUAAAACUCAGUAAACAGUUGGGAACAUUAAAGUGGGUUAAAAUGCUAACUAUAUUGGGGAGGAAAAAACACUUUCCAAAGAGCACUUUUCGGGUUUGGUUUUUUUUUUUUUUUUGUUCCAAAGAGGCUUUGAGAAGUGUUAAAGGGUUUAGAGAAGUCUUUUUACAAAAGCCACAUUUAAAAACGUGGUGGGGGAAAAAAAAGUCCUCGAGGAGAUGGAGCUUGCAGCUCUGCACCCCCAAAGGAACGAUGCUCACAGUGGGGUGACGCAGGGCUCUGAGCUGCAUCUUCUGCAGAUUCAGUGCCUGACAUCCUGCACAGGACAGGAAUUAGACUGUCACAUUAAGAACAUACAGAUAUCCACCCUUUGGAGUCCUGUUGAACUUCACAGAAAACCAACCACGCAAACCUCCCCACACCCCAAUGAACAAAUAUUUCAAUGCUUCGGUUUAAUGGAACAAUCUUGCACUAGAACAAACAAGAAAAUUACGCUUAUGCACACAGACUUUAGCAUUUGUUUGCUAUAGAUAAACCGCAGUGCAGCUGGAAGAUUCCCUAAGCCAUAUUUCUGGGUGACAGGAAAGCAUAACCUUGCAGAGGAAAGCAAGGACAGCUCCUGGGUUGUGAGAAUAACAUCAGGGAAAAGGAUCCACACCACGCUACUAAGAGAGAGAAGGCAUCUCAGGAGGGGACAAAACAGCUGUAAAAAUCUGCUUCUCCAGCUUCCAUAGCAGGCAGGAACUGAAGUUUCACCACAUUUAGGAGACCCAUAAACAAGGAUAUCUGGAGCAUUAGGACACCAGUGAAGACAGAGUAGUUGAGAGGUUUGUGAAGGUUCAGGAAGUAUUCACAUUGAAGGCUGCUACAAAGUUGUUAAUUGCAUGUUGUAAGACAUUCAUACCUAUGGCUCUUCAUUUGGAUCCAUCACUUUAAAUUGUAGACGUAGCUACAGGCGAGCAAGUGAAGGAAAUGUGAAACAGUAACAACAGAUUUUUAGAAGUAAAUAUUUCAAGCAAAAUUCCAAAUAGCCUGUGCUCAGUAUAUUUCUUUUUUUUGUGUAUCUGUAUCAUGCUUUGAGGGUGAAGCUAUUCCAGCAGCUCAAUGCAGAAUUCGUCUGGAAAAUGCUGGAGGGAAUUCUUAGACUGGAAGUACUUGUUUUCCUCAUCCUCCUUAGCUCCUGUUAUUUGUCUGCAUAAUUUCAUCUUUAGCUAUCUUUAAAGUAUUAAUGUGCCCCUUAUAUCUUCUAUCUCCAUUUAAAUAGCUGAAAUUCCAAGCAAUAGCUAUAUUAAAAAAAUACUACUUUCUUGCCUGAAUAAAUAAGGAAAGCUGCAGAUCUUCAGCAACUGCUCAGUGUAUUAUAGGUGGUAUUUUUGUUUGGAUGGUUUGAGGCAUUAUGGGAUUAUUGAGUUAGGAAUUAUUUUUUGGUGUUGUUAUUUCGGGGUUUUUCCUGAUGUUUUUAUUUUUGUCGUUUGAUUUGUUUGUUAUUUUGGUGGGUUUACUAGUUUUAUUUUUGGGAACGUGGGUAUUGAUAUUGUGGAUUUUUUAGGUAGCUUUUUUGGGGUAGUGAUGCUUAUUUUUUAGUAGUCUAGAAUUUUUUCAUGUUGUUAACUAGUUUGGCUAAUUUUAUAGAAUAUUGGUUAUUAUUUUUUCAGUAAGUGUAGAGAUAGAGAUUUUUUUAGUCAUGUUUAGGGUCAGUUGUACAGUUUUGAGUUUGGAAGUUGGUUUGAUUUAUCUUUUUUACUAUUUUUUAUGAUUUGUCAUGUGGGGUUCUCUAUGGUCGUUUUUCAUUUUUGUUUCAUUUUUAGGAGAGGAGUUGUUAGCGAAAAGAGUGCAGUGGGAUUUGUUUGCUGGCAUUUGGUUGUAUGGUGGAGUUUUUGAGUUUGCGUUUGUUUUAAGGUUUUUGUUGAGAUUACAGUUUUGAAUUCUUGGCUAAUUUGUGAUUGUUUUAAAGAUUUUAGGGAGAAUUCAAUUUUUCAUAAGGGAGCACUGUAUGAAGAGGGUAAUUUAUUUGUUUUAUGUGAUAUUGGUGGCAACAAAGAAGUUAACAAAUGACAUCCAUGUUCACUGUAUGUUAGAAAAGCCUCUGUAUUUUCUGCUACAUUAAAAAAACUGAACGGAGAAAGCUGUAAACAUCCUGGGGCUUCAGAGGUAACAGUAAAACAAAGUAGUCUUUUGAUUUUGUAACUCUCCAAACUUCACUGUUUAGUAACAGAGAAAUCCAAAAUAAAGCAAACAGACAAAAACCCCAAAACAAAUCC
Prinia subflava (tawny-flanked prinia) is the source of this 6972-nucleotide long non-coding RNA. RefSeq lists it as uncharacterized. The record is from RefSeq and is a predicted model, not a curated record. Lineage: Eukaryota; Metazoa; Chordata; Aves; Passeriformes; Cisticolidae. The transcript has 5 exons.